UGAAUAAAGAUCUGAUGGCUGAGUUAAUAAAUUUCUUAAUUCAAGGCGUGGAAUGUCCUCACACCUACCAGGAUAUAUAUUUUUAUGCCAUAUUUAGAAGAUUUAUUUGGCAUAUAUUGCAGAAGGCUACAACCAUGAAACAAUCAGGUCUUUUUGUCAUCAAGACACAGGCAAUUUUGAAGGAAACCACAUCUCUUGAGUGUCAUUAUUGUUCUAAAAAUCUCAACAAUACAUCUAUCAUGUCUCCAUAAAUCCUUUAGAUUCUGAUGAUUAAAAUGAUAAAGUCUAGCUAUGAAAGCUUUUAGUUCAGAUAGUGCGGUGUCUUGAUAGGUAUAUUUCUGAGUAUUACGAUUGGUGCAUAUAGAACAUUUUACUUGUACUUCAUUAUUAGUAUAUUUCACAACAUCUUGUAGCAUAUAGUCCAUUACAAUUUCC
This 435-nucleotide long non-coding RNA is filed under the name Chinchilla lanigera (long-tailed chinchilla). RNAcentral describes it as "lncRNA (ENSCLAG00000025748.1)". Lineage: Eukaryota; Metazoa; Chordata; Mammalia; Rodentia; Chinchillidae. The record is from RNAcentral.